CCCACAUCUUCUUCUUAUCCGACCGCUGCGUUCUCAUCCUCCUCCACCACUGGAUCUGGCCACCACCAAGGUUUCCCCUCACCCAGCUUAGAGCGGCAAUGUACGCUACUUCUCCAGCCGCCGGCAAGGUGCGGACGCUGGCCGCUGGCCGACGCGGGGGUCGUGCCGUUCCUUGUGCAGCAGCUCACAGUGACCUACACGUCCGCCACCGGUGAGAACGCGGCAACACGCUAAUCAGCAUCUCCCUCCCCGCAGCUCAUGUCAUCUCCCGUCCCGCUUGUCUCCCAUCCGGCCAGCAACAAUCUCGUCCUGCCUAGCUUGGAUCCGUGGAUGGCGAGUGGAUCAAGCAACUUGGAUGCCGGUGGCUGCGGCUCAUCUCCAACCCAAUGCACGGUCUACUAGUUAAUGCAAGUGAUAAAUUGAUGUUUGGAGCGUAUACAUGCCAAAAGAAAACAUUUGUGUUGUCUGUCCAGUUAAUUAAGA
Molecule: ribosomal RNA, 483 nt
Filed under: Triticum aestivum (bread wheat)
Lineage: Eukaryota; Viridiplantae; Streptophyta; Magnoliopsida; Poales; Poaceae
Description: partial small subunit ribosomal RNA
Source: RNAcentral